This 197-nucleotide unclassified non-coding RNA is filed under the name uncultured fungus. Its description in RNAcentral is "sequence contains ITS1". The record is from RNAcentral. Lineage: Eukaryota; Fungi.
CUGAAAAACUAAAUCUUUAGUUCUUUCAUACCCCAUUGUUGACUUUACCAUGUUGCUUCCACGUGGACAGGCUUCACUUUGUGUAAGCCCUUUGGCCUGUUGUGCAAACACACACUUGACAAAGAGUUGCCCGUGGUAAGAUCCUACAACAAAACUUGCAGAAACCAAAUGUCUGAUAUCUCAUUGUAAAUGAAAUA